RNAcentral lists this ribosomal RNA (501 nucleotides) under uncultured bacterium. RNAcentral describes it as "partial 16S ribosomal RNA". It matches the Rfam family "Bacterial small subunit ribosomal RNA", at positions 30 to 523 of the family's 1533-position model. The record is from RNAcentral.
AUUGAACGCUGGCGGCAGGCUUAACACAUGCAAGUCGAGCGGGGGAAGGUAGCUUGCUACUGGACCUAGCGGCGGACGGGUGAGUAAUGCUUAGGAAUCCGCCUAUUAGGGGGGGACAACAUCUCGAAAGGGAUGCUAAUACCGCAUCCGUCCUACGGGAGAAAGCAGGGGAUCUUCGGACCUUGCGAUAAUAGAUGGGCCUAAGUCGGAUUAGCUAGUGGGUGGGGUAAAGGCCUACCAAGGCGACGGUCUGUAGCGGGUCUGAGAGGAUGAUCCGCCACACUGGGACUGAGACACGGCCCAGACUCCUACGGGAGGCAGCAGUGGGGAAUAUUGGACAAUGGGGGGAACCCUGAUCCAGCCAUGCCGCGUGUGUGAAGAAGGCCUUAUGGUUGUAAAGCACUUUAAGCGAGGAGGAGGCUACUUUAGUUAAUACCUAGAGAUAGUGGACGUUACUCGCAGAAUAAGCACCGGCUAACUCUGUGCCAGCCGCCGCCGUAA